CAUUUUAAAGCAGGGAGACAGAGUAUGCUGGGGUCCAGCUGACAAUGAAUAGUGUCCCUCUUUCUAUAGGUCCUCAGCUCAGCUCAGGACUUUAUGAGGAGAGUAAAAGCCCUCAUUGAGAUCCACUGAGCAGCCAGCACCAGGAGUGCCAUGGAGCUUGGUCUGCGAACACACCCAGGUGAGUGCAGCCAGGAGACAGGACGGGCCCUGGGUGUGGACACACAGCAUGGUGCCAGCUGCCCCAGCUACCCCAGCCAAGGCCACUGCAGACAGCUAGCCCUGUCCAGGGAAGUCUGGAGAGUCCAUGGCCAGCCCAGCAAGGGAGUGGAGCACUGGCCUGGAGCAGUCUGACAAAACUAGAGCUUCCGCAAGGCGGGAAAGUUGAAAAGCAACAUGGACUGCGAUAGGACAAUGAAGAUCGUUCCUCCCAGGAAGAAGUCCUUGGUCUCCCGCUCUAUAAAUACCCCAGCAGUCCACUUCCUCUCCGUCUCCCUCUCCCUCUC
Long non-coding RNA from Fukomys damarensis (Damara mole-rat), 503 nucleotides. RefSeq lists it as uncharacterized. The record is from RefSeq and is a predicted model, not a curated record. Lineage: Eukaryota; Metazoa; Chordata; Mammalia; Rodentia; Bathyergidae. The transcript is spliced from 3 exons.